Molecule: long non-coding RNA, 535 nt
Organism: Brassica napus (rape)
Lineage: Eukaryota; Viridiplantae; Streptophyta; Magnoliopsida; Brassicales; Brassicaceae
Exons: 2
Source: RefSeq, a predicted model, not a curated record
AAAGACUUGCAUUUUGACCCAAAAAAAGAUUUGUAUAUGGGCAUCUUCGAAAAGGGAUCCGCCUCGAAUCAAAACGUUCUUUCUUUUCUAAAAACGAUCUUAGUGCGUAGGUACUCUUCAAUGCAGCGUGGACGAGACGACGUCACAUACUACGAUCACGUACAAAAGUCUUGCCCUUCAGCUCGGCUCUAUAUUGUUGUGUUCAGUGGGUUUCUUUUAUCGUCAACAAGAUCACGAUACGUAAACAAGACACCAAACAACAUCGUCCCUGAGGAAGCCGCCAAGGGACCAGACCUCUCGGACGACGAGUAUGCAAUGGACCUCAGGCCCGGCCCCAACAUAUUAUUUAUUAUUUGUCCCAUCGUCCAUUAUAUCAUUUUCUAUUUGUUUUAUUUACCGUCCAUACAUUUUUCGGACGUUUAGUGUUUGAUUUUCCGAUUUUUCUUGAUUUUUUGGUCAUUCUUGUCGCUGCCCGUUAGCAAUUACUUUCAUCACUUCCAUAAUUCAUAACCAACUUACUUUCACCUUUUUAUAA